AGCGAACGCUGGCGGUAGGCCUAACACAUGCAAGUCGAACGGCAGCACAGUAAGAGCUUGCUCUUACGGGUGGCGAGUGGCGGACGGGUGAGGAAUACAUCGGAAUCUACUUUUUCGUGGGGGAUAACGUAGGGAAACUUACGCUAAUACCGCAUACGACCUACGGGUGAAAGCAGGGGAUCUUCGGACCUUGCGCGAUUGAAUGAGCCGAUGUCGGAUUAGCUAGUUGGCGGGGUAAAGGCCCACCAAGUCGACGAUCCGUAGCUGGUCUGAGAGGAUGAUCAGCCACACUGGAACUGAAACACGGUCCAGACUCCUACGGGAGGCAGCAGUGGGGAAUAUUGGGCAAUGGGCGCAAGCCUGAUCCAGCCAUACCGCGUGGGUGAAGAAGGCCUUCGGGUUGUAAAGCCCUUUUGUUGGGAAAGAAAAGCAGCAGGUUAAUACCCCGCUGUUCUGACGGUACCCAAAGAAUAAGCACCGGCUAACUUCGUG
This 492-nucleotide ribosomal RNA is filed under the name uncultured bacterium. RNAcentral's name for it is "partial 16S ribosomal RNA". It matches the Rfam family "Bacterial small subunit ribosomal RNA", at positions 29 to 507 of the family's 1533-position model. The record is from RNAcentral.